Cherax quadricarinatus is the source of this 2151-nucleotide non-coding RNA. Lineage: Eukaryota; Metazoa; Arthropoda; Malacostraca; Decapoda; Parastacidae. The record is from RefSeq and is a predicted model, not a curated record.
UUUUACCGCUUAUAGCUUAUCUAAGUGAGUUGAGCUCAUGGUGUAGAACUAUGUGAGGGACCCUAGCCUUAGUGACAAAGUUCUCCGGGAUGACCACUGAAAGGGUUAAGAUUAACUUGCCUCAAUACACAGAACACCGUUAGGUAAAGUAAGCUUAUUCACUGAAAAAGAACAUCAUUUACAAACUAAUAAAAAAAUAUUAAACAUAUGAACAUCACUCAAAGAACUCUGAGCCUCCUACCAUGAUGGAUAGCUUACCAUCAUCAUGUGCUGUAACAUCCUGGAUAAAUCAUUGUAAAUAGAUAAGCUGCUUGUUAUUGGUGUGUGUUUUUUUUUUUCUUCCAGGCCAUUUUUCUGUUUUUUACAGUCAUUCAAUUCAUCAUAAACCAGCCCCACUCUCCAUGUACUUUUCCUUGUGAGUGGUUGAUUAUGAUUCAAGAUGUGAGAUGAUUGGCUAAUUGAGCAUCUGCUGUGAUAAUAGUUAUUAAUUGUACAUUGAAUCUGUUCUCUAUGGCUUGAACUCACAACCUAAAUAUGAAGUGUCUAACCUUUUUAAUUUAUUCACUUCAGAUGGUUAGGUGUACGGUUGGAAUUUAUUGGCAGCAUCAUCACAUUCGCUGCUGCUGUCUUUGCUGUUGCUGGUCGAGGCUCAAUCAGUUCAGGCAUUGUUGGUUUGUCUGUAAAUUAUGCUCUUAAUAUAACUGUAACUCUCAACUUUCUGGUGAGAAUGUGCUCAGAGAUAGAAGCCAACAUUGUAUCUGUUGAGAGGAUUAAAGAAUACAUUGAGGAAGAUCAUGAAGCACCAUGGGAUGUUAAGCAAUGCACUCCACCAAAGUCAUGGCCAGAGAAUGGCUGCAUUGUAUUUUCCAACUACCAAACCAGAUACCGCCCAGGUCUAGAACUGGUGUUGAAGGGUAUCACUUGUACCAUUAAUCCUGGAGAAAAGGUUGGCAUUGUGGGGAGGACAGGAGCUGGCAAGUCUUCUUUAACUCUUGCACUCUUUAGACUUAUUGAGGCUCAUAGUGGUUCAAUUGACAUAGAUGGCAUCAGGAUUUCCAAAAUGGUCUCCAUGAAUUAAGAAGCUGCCUCACUAUUAUACCACAGGACCCUGUUUUGUUUAGUGGAACUUUGCGCAUCAAUUUGGAUCCAUUUGGCAUGUAUGAUGAUGCAACUGUUUGGCACGCACUUGAAUUGGCUCAUCUUAGUUCUUUUGUUGCUGCCCAACCUCUUGGUCUGCAAAGUGUUGUGGAUGAAGGGGGAUCCAACCUCAGGUAAAAGUAAUACAUUUAUAAUUUCAUGAUUUUAAAAGCUGAAGUUCCUCUUGGGCUAGUGUAACCCAAGACAACAGCAAAGACUAUAAUCAACACAACUAACUAAAAGAAUAUACCUAUAGGUUGCCAUAUCUAUAAAAAAAAGUAUGCUUUAACCCUUAAACUGUUAAAACAUGGAUCUGCAGCCAUGUGGCUUACUGUUUAUAGUAUGACACACCUUCUGAAUGUGGCAUGAUGUAUUUUGCAGUUGAAAAGUCUUGGGUCUGAAAUGUCAAAGUAACAACAUCUAGUAAAAAAAAGUUCUGCUAUCCCUACCAAGCCAAUUGCCUUAGUUCAUGCUUGGUCACCAUCAUGGGCAUUAAGAGACAGUUUUAGAUUUUUUUUUUUUUUUUAACAAGUCGGCUGUCUCCCACCGAGGCAGGGUGACCCAAAAAAGAAAGAAAAUCCCCAAAAAGAAAAUACUUUCAUCAUCAUUCAACACUUUCACCACACUCACACAUUAUCACUGUUUUUGCAGAGGUGCUCAGAAUACAACAGUUUAGAAGCAUACACAUAUAAAGAUACACAACAUAUCCCUCCAAAUAAAUAAAUAAAUUCUAUUUUAGAAUGAAGACUGAAGAUUUCUCUAGCAAUGAGCACUGAAAGAUUUACUAGGUGUGUAGUAUUUUUUGACAAUGUAAGCAAUAUAAAUUAAGGCUCUGUACAAGAAGUGGUAACACAUAUGACCACAUAAACACUCCACUCACCUUACAUGGCUAUCACAAAGUGCAGUUAUGUCACCCACAUGGAUGUACCCUUGCUCCACCCAUUUAAUAUGUUUCUAAUGUACAGUAGACUGUUGAGCAACACGAUAGUUAUGUAUACCAAACUGAUAAACAUA